RNAcentral lists this ribosomal RNA (327 nucleotides) under uncultured eukaryote. Its description in RNAcentral is "partial 18S ribosomal RNA". It matches the Rfam family "Eukaryotic small subunit ribosomal RNA", at positions 1470 to 1796 of the family's 1831-position model. The record is from RNAcentral.
CCCUUAGAUGUCCGGGGCCGCACGCGCGCUACAAUGGAUGAAUCAACGCGUCAUCCUGGCCCGAAAGGGUUGGGGAACCGCUGAACCUCAUCCGUGGUUGGGAUUGGGGUUUGUAAUUAUUCCCCAUGAACUAGGAAUUCCCAGUAAGCGCGAGUCAUAAGCUCGCGUUGAUUACGUCCCUGCCCUUUGUACACACCGCCCGUCGCUACUACCGAUUGGAUGGUUUAGUGAGAUCCUCGGAUUGGUCACGGCACGGUGGCAACACUGCGUCUGUGUGCCGAGAAGACGAUCAAACUUGAUCAUCUAGAGGAAGUAAAAGUCGUAACA